This 73-nucleotide transfer RNA is filed under the name Ovis aries (sheep). It matches the Rfam family "tRNA". From Rfam's summary of the family: Transfer RNA (tRNA) molecules are approximately 80 nucleotides in length. Their secondary structure includes four short double-helical elements and three loops (D, anti-codon, and T loops). The record is from Rfam by way of RNAcentral. Lineage: Eukaryota; Metazoa; Chordata; Mammalia; Artiodactyla; Bovidae.
UCCCUGGUGGUCCAGUGGUUAGGAUUCUGCACUUACACUGCCACGGGCUGGGGUUCAAUCCCUGGUCAGGGAA